Molecule: RNase P RNA, 415 nt
Filed under: bacterium
Lineage: Bacteria
Description: RNase P RNA component class A
Rfam family: Bacterial RNase P class A
About the family: Ribonuclease P (RNase P) is a ubiquitous endoribonuclease, found in archaea, bacteria and eukarya as well as chloroplasts and mitochondria. Its best characterised activity is the generation of mature 5'-ends of tRNAs by cleaving the 5'-leader elements of precursor-tRNAs.
Source: RNAcentral
CCGUGAGAGAAGGUAUCUACCUUGUACUUGUUGCAAGGAGGAAAGUCUGGACAUCGUGAGGAAAGCACAGAAGAUAACAACUUCGGUUUAAGUAUAUAAAUAUUAAAGCUUAAAUACCACUAGUACCGCAGAGACUAUACUAAUUAGCUUUGGCUAAUAAAAUGUGAAAAGACAUAUGAUGUUAUUUAUUAUUACUGCUUAGCUUGCUUCGCCAGAUAAUUUUUAGCUACAUAUGAAUGACUGUAGUGAUACAGUUUAUUGGUAAACUGUGUGUGAUGCAAUGGGAAUGGUUCUAUAUUAAGAGCAAUUCCUCUAAUUCUAAAUAUAGAAUACUCAGCUUGAUCCAAUGAGUGAUUAUUGGACUAGAUAGAUUGAUACCGAGAUACAGAAUCCGGCUUAUUACUCUCACAUUUAA